AGCAACUGACACUAUUCCCUCUGAAUUACGAGGCUUUCUGUAACAUCUACCAGCCGAAAUUUCUACAGAUGUCACCCAAGAAUAAAAAGAUAUGUCUGGUUGGUUGUGUAUCCUCCUCCCUGUGCUCCAGUACAGAAAAUAUCAGAGACAACAACAGCCAUUGAUCACUGGAGAACAGGUUGAAGACUUCUUUUCUUGAUCGCCCAUUUGCUCCACUGAAGGAGGGAAUAUGAAAAUAUGGGUUGUCAGCCUGGCCCGUCACCUACUAAACCCCUGUAAACCACACACGAGUCCUGGGUAGAAUUAUGGAAGAAGUAACCCCCUGGCAAUGCAGAAAAUCUUAGAACUUGCAGCAUAGACUACCCCUCUUGGCAAGACAUCUUGUUAUUAUGCAAGUAAUGGUCCAACAGUCUGAAGAUGGAAUUCCGACAAGUGAAUCAUUUGGCUUCCAUCUGAACCUGACAAACUGAUCUCUGCCCUUAAGAAACAAUGCCAAAUAUGUGGCAUCUCCCCACAUACCUCGGCUCUAAUCUUCUGAAAGCUUACCAAAAAUGUUUUUUUAAAUCUCUGUGUCGAUAUUGAACU
Xenopus laevis (African clawed frog) is the source of this 585-nucleotide long non-coding RNA. RefSeq lists it as uncharacterized. NCBI's taxonomy places the organism in Eukaryota, Metazoa, Chordata, Amphibia, Anura, Pipidae. The record is from RefSeq and is a predicted model, not a curated record. The transcript is spliced from 5 exons.